Molecule: long non-coding RNA, 863 nt
Organism: Wasmannia auropunctata (little fire ant)
Lineage: Eukaryota; Metazoa; Arthropoda; Insecta; Hymenoptera; Formicidae
Exons: 3
Source: RefSeq, a predicted model, not a curated record
GCCGAUAAAUCUCCAAUGACGUCGGUCGUUAAGAAAUUCAUUAAAUGAAUAAAUUAUAAUUUCGCUUAUCGUAUAAAUAUGGCGUGCCUGAAUUUGCAGUAGUAUCACGGAAUUCGUCAGAUGCGAAAAAUAAUAAAAUUUGUAUGCAAUACACAGUGAUUGAAGCAUAUCGAAAUGAGAAAACACGAACGUUUAAUUAAUAAUUUGGUCCCGUUAUUAUAAACAUCACCGUCGCGAAAGGCGGCGGAAGUGAAAAUAUAAGUGAGCAAAUGACGGCGGGCAUUGACAAACGAGAGCGCGCGCGAAAACGAGCGACGUCGCUGACCCCGUCUUCGGGCGGGCGCGAGUUUCCCCGCGAGUAGUCCAUUCUCCCGGCGAGCCCAAAGCGAUUUCCCUGCUCCAGAGCUGAUCGAUGGAUUCCGCCGGAUCGGGAUUGAUGAGAGAAGAAUGGAGAGCGAGAAAGGAAGAGAUAGAAUCGGCGAUGGGGAGAAAGAGCCGCCGUUGAAAUCACGCAUCACGCAUUAAUCAAGGGGAUGCUGACGCGACGACCGUACUCUAUAAUAUCGCUUACUGAUGAUUUGUACGUAUAUAGAUCUUUUGCACAUGAUGUCUCGACUUGACAGCUCUAGACACCACAUACAACUAAGAGAUGAAAAUUUUGUUGGCAUAACUCCGAGCGUUAGACCAGUAUUAAUGCGUAUACUUCACUUCUGGAAAAGGAUUUCCAAAUCUAUUAAAGUAAUUAUAUGAAAAAAUCUCGAUACAAAAAUUAUUGUUGCAAAACAAACGACGUCAGCAUCCCCUUAAGACUUACGCCUGACUCCGAUCUGUUAGAUCGAAUUUGCACGAUGAAUUUAUAUGUA